Non-coding RNA from Coffea arabica (coffee), 640 nucleotides. The record is from RefSeq and is a predicted model, not a curated record. NCBI's taxonomy places the organism in Eukaryota, Viridiplantae, Streptophyta, Magnoliopsida, Gentianales, Rubiaceae.
AGGCCCCAUCCUUUUUUCCCACAAAACUUUAUGGUCCAGGGUCCAUCCAUUCUUGAUUCUCUCGUGGUAUAUAUAUGUAUAUAUAUAUCAGCUGCCGUGGUGAAGAGAAGGAUCAGAGGAUGGAGCGAUGCUGCAAAUGAAAUUGGGCAAAGGCAGGAAGAACGACGGUGAGGGUGACCAUGAUGUGAUGGCCUUGGGAUCUGAGGGUUCUGCAAAGUUUACUAUUACCAAGCUGGCAAGAACCUCACCCCCACGACUACUUGUUUUGCUCUUUGUAUUUCUUCUUAAUUUCAUAGAUUGGGAGGCUAUUAUUAGUUGUGCCGUGAAAAAAGAAAAAAAAAUAUUGUAAACUACAUGUGUUAGGAAUGUCGGAAUUCAAUUGUUUGGUGAACUGUCAAGCCGACCAUUGAAAUAUAUACAUUUUGUUUGUAAGUUGUAUAGACAGUAAAAUGUUGCAAUAUCAUUCCAACAACAUUUUCUUGUGACUUGCUUUUGUUGAGUGGAAUUACAAAGAGAUCACCAAUUCAAGAAAUGUCCCGAUUUAGAGAUAUUCAAUGCCCAUCUGUAAUAUAGCAUUUAGUCGACUCCAGAUAAAAAUUUAUACAAAUCCGCCCCCAGAAAUCAGUUCAAGUUUUUCAAA